AGUUCACCUGAAUAGGCUGACGUGGUGGUGAGUCUAGCAUAAUUAAUUGGCCAAUGGGAUUCUGCCUGUCCUUGCUUUUCUUUCUGGCUUCUCUUCCUAUCAUAUUUGCGCAAGAUGUUAAACAUGCUACAAUUGUGGUUGAUGGGACUGUCACAACCGCUGAAACUGAUGAUAAUUUCAUAUGCGCUACCCUUGAUUGGUGGCCUCAUGA
Molecule: unclassified non-coding RNA, 211 nt
Filed under: Hevea brasiliensis (rubber tree)
Lineage: Eukaryota; Viridiplantae; Streptophyta; Magnoliopsida; Malpighiales; Euphorbiaceae
Source: RNAcentral